GCCUAACACAUGCAAGUCGAACGGAGUUGAGGAGCUUGCUCCUUAACUAGUGGCGGACGGGUGAGUAACGCGUGAGUAACCUGCCUCUGAGAGGGGAAUAACGUUCUGAAAAGGACGCUAAUACCGCAUAACACAUAUUUGCCGCAUGACAGAUAUGUCAAAGAUUUUUAUCGCUCGGAGAUGGACUCGCGUCCGAUUAGUUAGUUGGUGAGGUAACGGCUCACCAAGACCGCGAUCGGUAGCCGGACUGAGAGGUUGAUCGGCCACAUUGGGACUGAGACACGGCCCAGACUCCUACGGGAGGCAGCAGUGGGGGAUAUUGCGCAAUGGGGGCAACCCUUGACGCAGCAACGCCGCGUGAAGGAUGAAGGUUUUCGGAUUGUAAACUUCUUUUCUCAGGGACGAAGAAUGACGGUACCUGAGGAAUAAGCUCCGGCUAACUACGUGCCAGCCGCGGC
This 458-nucleotide ribosomal RNA is filed under the name uncultured bacterium. Its description in RNAcentral is "bacterial SSU rRNA". It matches the Rfam family "Bacterial small subunit ribosomal RNA", at positions 46 to 518 of the family's 1533-position model. The record is from RNAcentral.